GGGGAUAUAGCUUAGUGGUGGAGCACCUGCCUUCCAUGCACAGGAUAUCUAAAAUUAGGAUUCCUAAUGUUCCCA
Molecule: transfer RNA, 75 nt
Filed under: Ictidomys tridecemlineatus (thirteen-lined ground squirrel)
Lineage: Eukaryota; Metazoa; Chordata; Mammalia; Rodentia; Sciuridae
Description: Spermophilus tridecemlineatus (thirteen-lined ground squirrel) tRNA
Rfam family: tRNA
About the family: Transfer RNA (tRNA) molecules are approximately 80 nucleotides in length.
Source: Rfam by way of RNAcentral